Molecule: long non-coding RNA, 3439 nt
Filed under: Lotus japonicus
Lineage: Eukaryota; Viridiplantae; Streptophyta; Magnoliopsida; Fabales; Fabaceae
Description: long non-coding RNA (LJAP_LNC002125)
Source: RNAcentral
CUCCUCAGUGGAAACUGAUGGAUCGGAAGGUUGAAAGUGCUGGCUGCUGCUACAAAAGAUUAACAAAUCCGAGCUUGUGUGUCAGUGUGUGAUCUUUUACCUUCCUAUCAAUAAAGUGAUCUAAGUGUUAUUGUUUUAUCGAUCACUCUUAUAUGAAAUGAAAACAGUGUUUUGUUUGUUCAAAACGAGGGCAAAAUAAUCACAAAAAUGAGGCCACUAAUAAGAUGAUAGAUAAACAUUAUUACCAAAUGUUAUUAAACUUGGAUUGUUCAUCGAUUCCUUAAGGAUACUAUGUUGGAUUGAACCGGUUAGAUGUAUAUAUAUAUAUAUAAAAUUAAGAAAUUAUAAUAGACGAUAAAUAAAAAUGACCAAUAUUAUUAAAUUUGAAAGGGUAAUCGACUCGGUCAUUGUAAAUUUAUACUAGACUAAAGGUAAAAAAAUAAAAAUAUUCAUAAUACACUUGCUCUCCCCAAACUGCGGGACACAACCUAUAGCGUUAGAGUAGGAUGUUGGUAUGAUGGCUUUAAAUCCAUACAUGUUUUUAUACUAUGUCUUGUUUUAAUAUUCUUUCUAAUGGCUUGUGUUCUCAAAUUGAAAAAUUGAAAGUAUUAAAAGCAUGUUCUAUUAGGGUAACGAGGUCUUGAUUUCCAGGUUGCACUUGUGGGGAAAAUUUGGUGAAGGAUCAUGUCUCGUCUAGUAUUAGAAUUCUUUCCUCUCUAUUUCAUACUGUAUUUUGGGGAACAAUUUACUUUUUCCUAGAGUCAGGUUCUAUUUGGAGCAAACUUUGAGUCGUGCUUGUGGACUUAAUUCAUCCCUCGUUGGUGGCGUCUUGGACUGGUCGAAAACUUCAUACUAUUCUUCUAGUGUAUAUAAAAAAUCUAUUUGAUAAAUCUUUUAUACUUAUAAAACAUUAAACAUGAUGGAUCAUGAUUAUUUGUUGAAUGACUUUUCAUUUCCUGUCUCGUCAAUAAAAUUACAUCGUGUUAAUUAAAAAUUAUUUAUGUAGGUUAUAAAUGUUAUAUUUAUAUAUUUUUUUAAUUGACAUAUCUUGAAUUUAUUGGUUAGGACAGAAAAUGAGACAUCAUUUAAUAAUAAAAUAUCUCAAUCCAAAACAUAACAUGAUACAAGUGUAUAUGUAGUUAAUUUUAUGAUUAUGUUAUGUCUGAUAUGCAUCAAACAUGCAUACAUGAUAUAAUAUCUAUUGAACCCGGUGUGUGCUAAGGGCACAAGUUUCUAUAUAUAAUUUUAAAGUUAAUAAUAAAAUAAAAGGGGUGAAGUUAGAACCAUAAAUAUAGUAUGUGUCAUACAUAAUAUAAGUGGAAGAAAUAAAAAGUAUUCGGUGGUACAAUGAGAUAACGGUAAAUUUUACCUUGCAUGGCUCAAAUAGGAUUGUUUAAUGGAUGACAUAUAUAUUGUGGUAUAAGCAAAAUUAUUUCAAAAGCCAUCAAUUAAAGUAGAAAUAGUGAAUAAGUAUCAAUAUGAAACGACAAAAAUAAAAGUAAGCAUGAAACAUACAAAUAGAAUAUUCAAUUGUAGAAUAGAAUUGAACUAGAAGCACCUCACCCCUCUCUAUAUAAACCCUUCUCUACUUGAAUCAUUUCAAGCCACAUCAAAAACCAACCACAUCCUUAAGAAAGUGUGUUGUUGAGUAUUGUGGUCUGAGUGAGGGACUAUGGCACCAGCAAAAGGAUCAUCCCUCACCCCAAUCCAGGUGGAGAACCUUCAAUUUCCUGCGUCUGUCACCUCUCCAGCCACCGCCAAGUCUUAUUUCCUCGGUGGUGCAGGUAAUUCUAAUUAAUUAGUUCUAAUAAAUUCCUUGCUUAUAAUUGUCUAUUAUCAUAAAUACUUAAUUAUUUAUUCAAAGUGACAUAAUAUGUACAUGUUGAUUAAUUGUUGGUUUUUGAAUUAAUGUGUAGGGGAGAGAGGGUUGACGAUUGAGGGGAAGUUCAUAAAAUUCACUGGCAUAGGAGUGUAUUUGGAAGAUACAGCAGUGGAUUCACUCGCCACCAAGUGGAAGGGUAAGAGCUCACAAGAGUUGCAGGACUCCCUUGACUUCUUCAGAGACAUCAUUUCAAGUAUGAAUUCUUCACUCCCUCUCUCUACUUUUGUUGUUUAGCUCUUUUGAUGGUUUUUUUUUUAAAAUAAACUAAAGAAUUAUAUUCAAACUAGCAUAAUAGAUGCUAAACCCGAAUAUAAGAAAAAGAAAAUACAAACUGAAAGGAAGCAACCAGUUAUAGAAAGAAUUAAUUUUAUCAUAUUUUUUACCGUGUAUCCGAACAUAUACACGUAAAUUAACUUACAUAAUGAAUAUGAGUAGCUUUGACUUGUCGUCAACUAGAAGAGCACGAGUCCUAGUUGGUGUAAAAGUCCUAGCUACUUGGUCUCAACAUACAUGCAUGCACUUGCUUUUCCAAAAGUAUGAUUAUCACCAAAAGUUUCAACUAAUUCAUUCUUUGUAGUAAUAAAGUAGAAUUAAAUUUCAUGUUUGAAGGUUUUAAAAUAUGAAUAAUUGUUUAGAAACUAAUUGUUUAAUUUAAUUUGCAGGUCCCUCUGAGAAGUUAAUUCGAGGGUCCAAGCUGAGGCCAUUGAGUGGCGUGGAGUAUUCAAGAAAGGUGAUGGAGAAUUGUGUGGCACACAUGAAGUCUGCUGGAACUUAUGGUGAAGCAGAGGCCACAGCCAUUGAAAAAUUUGCAGAAGCCUUCAGGAAGGUGGAUUUUCCACCAGGUUCCUCUGUUUUCUACCGACAAUCAACAGAUGGAAAAUUAGGGGUUAGUAUAUACCGCGAGUCUUGUUUCUUAUUGAAUUUUAACUAGUAUUUUAACCCGUGCUAUGCAGAGAGAAAACAUUUUAUUAAAGUUUAGAUUGUUAUGAUUAACUAAUAUAAUGUUUCUUCUUUGUGUUGUUGUUUUUGAAAACCACACAGCUUAGUUUCUCUUUGGAUGACACGAUACCAGAAGAAGAGGCUGUAGUUAUAGAGAACAAGGCACUCUCAGAGGCAGUGUUAGAGACCAUGAUUGGCGAGCAUGCUGUUUCCCCUGAUUUGAAGCGUUGUUUGGCUGAAAGGUUGCCUAUUGUGAUGAACCAGGGUCUUCUCCUCACUGGAAACUGACAAGAUUGAAAAGUUUUGGCUGCUGCAAAAGAUAAAGAACUUAAGCUUUUUGAAAUAUCGAAGCUUAAUUUGUUUGUGUAUCUUUUACCUUCCUAUCAAUAAAGUGAUCAAAGUGUGCUAUAUUUUCUACUCUUCUGUGUUUCUAUUGUUUUAUCACUGAAAUGACAUGAAAACAUUGGGUUCAAAAAGAGGCUAAUGGCAAAAUAAUGACAAAAAGAGGCUAAUUAAAAGAUGGUAAAUAACACUACCUGUUAAACUUGGACGGCUUAUGGAUUCGAUCAUGAUGCUAGAAUAAUUGAUUGAACCAAAUCGAUAAUUUUUUAGUGUGAU